CAGACAAGAUAGCACGGUCACGCCAUGC
RNAcentral lists this small RNA (28 nucleotides) under Bombyx mori (domestic silkworm). RNAcentral's name for it is "ovarian small RNA-4690". Lineage: Eukaryota; Metazoa; Arthropoda; Insecta; Lepidoptera; Bombycidae. The record is from RNAcentral.